UACGUAGGGUGCAAGCGUUAAUCGGAAUUACUGGGCGUAAAGCGUGCGCAGGCGGUUAUGUAAGACAGAUGUGAAAUGCCCGGGCUUAACCUGGGAACUGCAUUUGUGACUGCAUGGCUAGAGUGUGUCAGAGGGGGGUAGAAUUCCACGUGUAGCAGUGAAAUGCGUAGAUAUGUGGAGGAAUACCGAUGGCGAAGGCAGCCCCCUGGGAUAACACUGACGCUCAUGCACGAAAGCGUGGGGGAGCAAACAGG
RNAcentral lists this ribosomal RNA (254 nucleotides) under uncultured bacterium. RNAcentral's name for it is "partial 16S ribosomal RNA". It matches the Rfam family "Bacterial small subunit ribosomal RNA", at positions 524 to 776 of the family's 1533-position model. The record is from RNAcentral.